Etheostoma spectabile (orangethroat darter) is the source of this 311-nucleotide long non-coding RNA. RefSeq lists it as uncharacterized. Lineage: Eukaryota; Metazoa; Chordata; Actinopteri; Perciformes; Percidae. The record is from RefSeq and is a predicted model, not a curated record. The transcript is spliced from 2 exons.
GACUCCAUGCAGCGCUGCUUGGAAUGCACCUGGCAAACCUGAAAGAACAUCAGCACCAGAUGUGAAUGACACAAAGGCAUCACAACUGGUUGUCUCAAUAUUUGUCUAGUACAAUAAAUGACAGCUUUGUGAGUUACAGGUAGUACUUUGCUUUGUGAGGAUACCUCAUGUGUUUGGAAACACAGUGGGGAUUAGCUCCUGAGGAGUCUUUGAUAGAGUCUCCUUCACUUGAUGAAUGUGCCCUGGAAUCAAUCAGAGAAGAAGAUAAACUCCUAGUCACUCAGUUACAAUAACAAUAGCCAUAUGUAAAA